GGCUGGUCUAAAGGUGUGAGUUAUCUCAAUUGAUUGUUCACAGUCAGUUACAGAUCAAACUCCUUGUUCUACUCUUUCCACCUUUCUCACUACUGCACUUGACUAGUCUAAA
Pongo abelii (Sumatran orangutan) is the source of this 112-nucleotide Y RNA. It matches the Rfam family "Y RNA". Rfam says of the family: Y RNAs are components of the Ro ribonucleoprotein particle (Ro RNP), in association with Ro60 and La proteins. The Y RNAs and Ro60 and La proteins are well conserved, but the function of the Ro RNP is not known. Lineage: Eukaryota; Metazoa; Chordata; Mammalia; Primates; Hominidae. The record is from Ensembl.